Molecule: non-coding RNA, 243 nt
Organism: Paramuricea clavata
Lineage: Eukaryota; Metazoa; Cnidaria; Anthozoa; Malacalcyonacea; Plexauridae
Source: the annotation of a GenBank genome assembly
GUUUGGUUUAGGUGGAAAAUAAUUUUGCACCUGUCUCGUUUCGUAAUUGUGUACGUCAUCGGUUCUUUGAAAUAAACUAUUUGAUAUGGAGCGAGGAACCAUUGAAUUUCUAACUUUGAACAUUAGUGUAGCAAGUUGUUGGUUCCUACGAGUCUCCAGAUUGUCAAGGUUUAGGUGUUGUAGAAGAACACAGGAGCGGACAUCAUAUCCACACUUAGUGAUAAUGCGCGCAGCUCUGUUUUG